ACGCAUUCUUUCUAUUUGAAUUUUCCAGGAAAGUGAGCUCAUCAAAAUUGUGGAAUGCUGCAAAUGGAUGAAUUAUGUUUGAAAACAACAUCUCCACGAGCUUUCCAAAUCAAAGUGGAGAUCAACGCGAUCAGAGUACACUUUGCAGACUCGUCUUAAUAUGUAUACUGACUAGAUCGGAUGCUUAAGCAGCGAUUUCGAUAUGCUACAGGCCUACACAGGACGCAGUAAAUACGCGAUG
This 241-nucleotide long non-coding RNA is filed under the name Eucalyptus grandis. RNAcentral describes it as "long non-coding RNA (EGRA_LNC007870)". Lineage: Eukaryota; Viridiplantae; Streptophyta; Magnoliopsida; Myrtales; Myrtaceae. The record is from RNAcentral.